RNAcentral lists this ribosomal RNA (1684 nucleotides) under Salmonella enterica subsp. enterica serovar Javiana. Its description in RNAcentral is "partial 23S ribosomal RNA". It matches the Rfam family "Bacterial large subunit ribosomal RNA", at positions 1273 to 2925 of the family's 2925-position model. Lineage: Bacteria; Pseudomonadati; Pseudomonadota; Gammaproteobacteria; Enterobacterales; Enterobacteriaceae. The record is from RNAcentral.
CUGGAGGUAUCAGAAGUGCGAAUGCUGACAUAAGUAACGAUAAAGCGGGUGAAAAGCCCGCUCGCCGGAAGACCAAGGGUUCCUGUCCAACGUUAAUCGGGGCAGGGUGAGUCGACCCCUAAGGCGAGGCCGAAAGGCGUAGUCGAUGGGAAACGGGUUAAUAUUCCCGUACUUGGUGUUACUGCGAAGGGGGGACGGAGAAGGCUAUGUUGGCCGGGCGACGGUUGUCCCGGUUUAAGCGUGUAGGCUGGUUUUCCAGGCAAAUCCGGAAAAUCAAGGCUGAGGCGUGACGACGAGGCACUACGGUGCUGAAGCAACAAAUGCCCUGCUUCCAGGAAAAGCCUCUAAGCAUCAGGUAACAUCAAAUCGUACCCCAAACCGACACAGGUGGUCAGGUAGAGAAUACCAAGGCGCUUGAGAGAACUCGGGUGAAGGAACUAGGCAAAAUGGUGCCGUAACUUCGGGAGAAGGCACGCUGACACGUAGGUGAAGUGAUUUACUCAUGGAGCUGAAGUCAGUCGAAGAUACCAGCUGGCUGCAACUGUUUAUUAAAAACACAGCACUGUGCAAACACGAAAGUGGACGUAUACGGUGUGACGCCUGCCCGGUGCCGGAAGGUUAAUUGAUGGGGUCAGCGCAAGCGAAGCUCCUGAUCGAAGCCCCGGUAAACGGCGGCCGUAACUAUAACGGUCCUAAGGUAGCGAAAUUCCUUGUCGGGUAAGUUCCGACCUGCACGAAUGGCGUAAUGAUGGCCAGGCUGUCUCCACCCGAGACUCAGUGAAAUUGAACUCGCUGUGAAGAUGCAGUGUACCCGCGGCAAGACGGAAAGACCCCGUGAACCUUUACUAUAGCUUGACACUGAACAUUGAGCCUUGAUGUGUAGGAUAGGUGGGAGGCUUUGAAGUGUGGACGCCAGUCUGCAUGGAGCCGGCCUUGAAAUACCACCCUUUAAUGUUUGAUGUUCUAACGUGGACCCGUGAUCCGGGUUGCGGACAGUGUCUGGUGGGUAGUUUGACUGGGGCGGUCUCCUCCUAAAGAGUAACGGAGGAGCACGAAGGUUGGCUAAUCCUGGUCGGACAUCAGGAGGUUAGUGCAAUGGCAUAAGCCAGCUUGACUGCGAGCGUGACGGCGCGAGCAGGUGCGAAAGCAGGUCAUAGUGAUCCGGUGGUUCUGAAUGGAAGGGCCAUCGCUCAACGGAUAAAAGGUACUCCGGGGAUAACAGGCUGAUACCGCCCAAGAGUUCAUAUCGACGGCGGUGUUUGGCACCUCGAUGUCGGCUCAUCACAUCCUGGGGCUGAAGUAGGUCCCAAGGGUAUGGCUGUUCGCCAUUUAAAGUGGUACGCGAGCUGGGUUUAGAACGUCGUGAGACAGUUCGGUCCCUAUCUGCCGUGGGCGCUGGAGAACUGAGGGGGGCUGCUCCUAGUACGAGAGGACCGGAGUGGACGCAUCACUGGUGUUCGGGUUGUCAUGCCAAUGGCACUGCCCGGUAGCUAAAUGCGGAAGAGAUAAGUGCUGAAAGCAUCUAAGCACGAAACUUGCCCCGAGAUGAGUUCUCCCUGAGACUUUAAGUCUCCUGAAGGAACGUUGAAGACGACGACGUUGAUAGGCCGGGUGUGUAAGCGCAGCGAUGCGUUGAGCUAACCGGUACUAAUGAACCGUGAGGCUUAACCUUACAACGCCGAAG